Molecule: unclassified non-coding RNA, 1659 nt
Filed under: Leishmania donovani
Lineage: Eukaryota; Euglenozoa; Kinetoplastea; Trypanosomatida; Trypanosomatidae
Description: gene:LdHU3.07.1450(CDS-product:lipoate-protein_li gase-like)
Source: RNAcentral
GCCCAGGCACACGCGGACAUACGCACGUGCAACUUGAUCGUGUGCAACCAUGUGGCAGACUGUCGUGCAGCGAUAUCGACUCCAGCCCACGUCCCUCGCAACCUUCCUAGAGUCAAACUGCAUGGUAGCUAAGCCGCCCACGGCGGCGCUGCAUAGCGGCUCGAACCUUGUCGUCGCUGAAACCAACAGCCUCAGCAUCUUCGAAAAUCUAGCGGCGGAAGAGUCGCUCAUUCGCGGUCUUUCGCUCGACACGAAGCAGCGUCUACUCCUCUUCUACGUCAACCGCCCUUGCGUCGUGGUAGGACGCAACCAGAACAUCUUUCAGGAGGUGUCGCUGCGACGGGCGGCGGCCGACGGCGUUUGCCUGGCGCGCCGCGCCUCUGGCGGCGGCGCCGUUUUCCACGACGAGGGCAACCUCUGCUUCUCUUUUCUUACCCACCGCACUUGCUAUGCUCCAGAGAAGACGAUCCAGCUGGUGCGCCUCGGGCUCUGUGCAAGCUACGCAAUCGACCCGGCACGAUUGACCACGACAGGGCGGCACGACCUGUUCCUUGACGGCAGGAAGAUCACGGGGUCUGCCAUGCGGGUGCAGCGUGACAUUGCGUACCACCACUGCACACUGCUCGUGGACACCACACACGCAUCGGUCAGUCGCUACCUUCGCCCAGAAGGGGACUACGUGGCAUUCGAGACGUCGUCGGUGGGCUCGGUGCGAAGCCCUGUCACCUCACUCGCCGAGUCGGGCUGCAUCGCUGGUGGGCCGGGCGCCGUGGCGGCACUCAAGAGAAACAUGGCAGACUUUUUCCUAGCGGAGGGCGACCGCGUGCUGGAUGCAGCGACGCCGUGGGAGCUUGACGCGGUGAAGCUGCGGCAGAGCUUCGCCACCUCGCGACACCGCUGCGAGAACGCGCCUCUCUUUGCCCUGGACGUUGUGGGAGCUGUUGCGGCCGAUAUGCCCUUCUUCGAGGGAGAGGGCAGGCGGCCGACCCGCGGUGACGCCGCCACCCUUGGCGAGGCGGUUCGCAAGACAGCGUCGAAGGACUGGGCCUACGCGAUGCCGUCGUUUACAUCCACGGUGCUCCUCAGCGGCAGCGAACUGCGGCGGCGCCUGAAAACGCUUUCUGUGUGGCAGGACGUCGCAUCGCUAUGCUCCCUUGCGGAGGAGGAGUUGCUGGCGGUGCUGCAGCGGUGCGUCCUUGAGGGCUCGGAAGGCCUCGAGGAGGUGGCGGCGGGAACCGAAGCCGGAUUGCACUUGAUCACCACAGUCGAGCAUCGUCUCGUCACGUCCGUUGUCGUGAGACGCGCGGCGUCCACGACAGCCACAGCUAGCGCUGUGGCGCCAUCGAGUGGGAGCUCUGGAGGGUGGGUACAGAGGUGCCUUUCCGCUUUACUGGUCGGCCAACCUUGUGAUGCCGCCGUCGAGGGCCUGGAGCGUACUGGCGACACCACGGCGGUGAUGCAGAGCCUGGUGCACGAGGCAGGGUCACUCUGCCUCGAUCUGCCCGACUUAGCCGGCGACGCGGCGCUGCUGAUGGUGACCCGAGUGCUGCUGGAUGUGUGGCGAGACAAGAAUGUGUUCGACAUCGCGACCUAAUCCAUCGACCCUUCGCGUCGCCGGGGGGUGCGCGAGGGAGUGUACGGGAGCUGUGGCUCACAGAU